AACUAAGCCACCACCUGUUGAAGAUGUCCUUGCUGCAACAAUUAAGUUGUUUCAGAGUGCCGACUCAAUGGCUUUCCCGCUGAUGGAUUUACUUGUGACUCUUUGUAAUCGGAACAAAGGAGAAGAUCGUGCAAAAGUGACUUCAUAUAUGAUUCACCAAUUGAAAGAUUGCCAGCUGGAAUUUUCCAGGGACACUGGUGCCUUGUGUAUGAUAGCACAUACUUUAGCAUUGCUUCUUUCUGAAGAUGAAAAGAUACGGGAAAUUGCGG
This 269-nucleotide unclassified non-coding RNA is filed under the name Hevea brasiliensis (rubber tree). Lineage: Eukaryota; Viridiplantae; Streptophyta; Magnoliopsida; Malpighiales; Euphorbiaceae. The record is from RNAcentral.